AGUGAACGCUGGCGGUAGGCCUAACACAUGCAAGUCGAACGGCAGCACAGUAAGAGCUCGCUCUUACGGGUGGCGAGUGGCGGACGGGUGAGGAAUACAUCGGAAUCUACUUUUUCGUGGGGGAUAACGUAGGGAAACUUACGCUAAUACCGCAUACGACCUACGGGUGAAAGCAGGGGAUCUUCGGACCUUGCGCGAUUGAAUGAGCCGAUGUCGGAUUAGCUAGUUGGCGGGGUAAAGGCCCACCAAGGCGACGAUCCGUAGCUGGUCUGAGAGGAUGAUCAGCCACACUGGAACUGAGACACGGUCCAGACUCCUACGGGAGGCAGCAGUGGGGAAUAUUGGACAAUGGGCGCAAGCCUGAUCCAGCCAUACCGCGUGGGUGAAGAAGGCCUUCGGGUUGUAAAGCCCUUUUGUUGGGAAAGAAAAGCAGCAGGUUAAUACCCUGCUGUUCUGACGGUACCCAAAGAAUAAGCACCGGCUAACUUCGUG
This 492-nucleotide ribosomal RNA is filed under the name uncultured bacterium. Its description in RNAcentral is "partial 16S ribosomal RNA". It matches the Rfam family "Bacterial small subunit ribosomal RNA", at positions 29 to 507 of the family's 1533-position model. The record is from RNAcentral.